GACGAACGCUGGCGGCGGGCUUAACACAUGCAAGUCGAACGGAAAGACCCUGCUUUUGUGGGGUUCUCGAGGGGCGAACGGGUGAGUAAGACGUGAGUAACCUGCCCUUGACUUUGGGAUAGCUUCAGGAAACGGGGGCUAAUACCAUAUAGGAUCUCCUGCUGCAGUGUGGGGGUUGGAAAGUUUCGGCGGGUGGGGAUGGACUCGCGGCUUAUCAGCUUGUUAGUGGGGGAGGGGCUUACCAAGGCUUUGACGGGUAGGCGGCAUGAGAGGGUGACCGGCCACAAUGCGACUACGAUACGGCCCAGACUCCUACGGGAGGCAGCAGUGGGGAAUCUUGCACAACGAGCGGACGUGUGAUGAAGAAACGCCGCGUGCGGGAUGACGGCCUUUGGGUUGUAAAACGCUUCAGCUUGUGACGCAGCGUGAGUGACGGUAACGGGUAAAGAAGCACCGGCUAACUACGUG
This 468-nucleotide ribosomal RNA is filed under the name uncultured bacterium. Its description in RNAcentral is "partial 16S ribosomal RNA". It matches the Rfam family "Bacterial small subunit ribosomal RNA", at positions 28 to 507 of the family's 1533-position model. The record is from RNAcentral.